GUGGGGCACAGGCUGCGUGGGGGGAGCCCACCCUGGCGCAGCCCCACGGCUGCUCCUGCCAAGGAAUUUUCUCGGCCUCCAUCAACAGCAUGAGCACAGCCACCCGCUGUGCCCCCAUGGCCAGGGCCACCUGCCCCAUCACGAGCAGCACCGCACACCUGGUCCUGCUGGCUCUGAAGAUCUCCUGCUCCACCUGCGAGCCAAUGCCAGCCGACUCCAAGACAGGCCUGCCGCUGGCCAAGGCCAAGCCAAUCCGCGCCUCUGGGAUAACAUAGUUAAGAAGAAGAAAAACACUUAGAGAGAGAGCUUUUGCAGCCAGAGAGAGGAGUGAGAAGAUGUAAGAAACUCUGCAGACACCCAGGUCAGUGCAGAAGGAGGGGCAGGAGGUGCUCCAGGCACCGGAGCAGAGAUCCCCCUGCAGCCCGUGGUGAAGGCCAUGGUGAAGCAGGCUGUCCCCCUGCAGCC
Molecule: long non-coding RNA, 465 nt
Organism: Grus americana (Whooping crane)
Lineage: Eukaryota; Metazoa; Chordata; Aves; Gruiformes; Gruidae
Exons: 3
Source: RefSeq, a predicted model, not a curated record